This 834-nucleotide ribosomal RNA is filed under the name uncultured archaeon. Its description in RNAcentral is "bacterial SSU rRNA". It matches the Rfam family "Archaeal small subunit ribosomal RNA", at positions 21 to 859 of the family's 1478-position model. The record is from RNAcentral.
AGGUCACUGCUAUCGGUGUUCGAUUAAGCCAUGCGAGUCGUGAGGGGUAAAGCCCUCGGCGGAGUGCUCAGUAACACGUGGACAACCUACCCAAGAGUCAGGGAUAACCCCGGGAAACUGGGGAUAAUACCUGAUAGGCCAUGACAUCUGGAAUCGAGUUGUGGUUUAAACGUAAGGCUCUUGGAUGGGUCUGCGGCGGAUUAGGUUGUUGCCGGUGUAACGUACCAGCAAGCCUGUAAUCCGUACGGGUUGUGGGAGCAAGAGCCCGGAGAUGGAUUCUGAGACACGAAUCUAGGCCCUACGGGGCGCAGCAGGCGCGAAAACUCUACAAUGCAGGCAACUGCGAUAGGGGAACAUCGAGUGGCAUCCACCAUGGAUGUCUGUCCAAUCGUCUAAAAAACGAUUGUCAGCAAGGGCCGGGCAAGACCGGUGCCAGCCGCCGCGGUAAUACCGGCGGCUCGAGUGGUGGCCGAUAUUAUUGAGUCUAAAGGGUCCGUAGCCGGCUUUGCAAGUCCUAUGGGAAAUCCAGCGGCUUAACCGUUGGGCUUUCAUGGGAUACUACAUUGCUUGGGACUGGGAGAGGUAGGAGGUACUCAGGGGGUAGGGGUGAAAUCCUGUAAUCCUUUGGGGACCACCGGUGGCGAAGGCGUCCUACCAGAACAGGUCCGACGGUGAGGGACGAAAGCUAGGGGCACGAACCGGAUUAGAUACCCGGGUAGUCCUAGCCGUAAACGAUGCUCGCUAGGUGUCACGGCAGUCGUGAAUUGUCGUGGUGCCGUAGGGAAGCCGUGAAGCGAGCCACUUGGGAAGUACGACCGCAAGGUUGAAACUUAA